Ciona savignyi (Pacific transparent sea squirt) is the source of this 46-nucleotide non-coding RNA. Lineage: Eukaryota; Metazoa; Chordata; Ascidiacea; Phlebobranchia; Cionidae. The record is from Rfam.
AAAACGGCUCUUUUCAGAGCCACCCACAGUACCGAAGAGGUUGUUU